UACAGAGACUGCGAGCGUUAUUCGGAUUCACUGGGCGUAAAGGGUGCGCAGGCGGCCAGGUGUGUGGGGCGUGAAAGCCCGGGGCUCAACCCCGGAAUUGCACCUCAAACUACAUGGCUAGAGUACUGGAGAGGGAGACGGAAUUCACGGUGUAGCAGUGAAAUGCGUAGAUAUCGUGAGCAACACCAGAGGCGAAGGCGGUCUCCUGGACAGGUACUGACGCUCAGGCACGAAAGCGUGGGGAGCAAAAGGG
This 253-nucleotide ribosomal RNA is filed under the name uncultured bacterium. RNAcentral's name for it is "partial 16S ribosomal RNA". It matches the Rfam family "Bacterial small subunit ribosomal RNA", at positions 524 to 776 of the family's 1533-position model. The record is from RNAcentral.